CCCGAUGCGGCCGUGCCUGGUGGUGAUGUGGGUGACGAUGGUCACCAGGACCGUGCUGAGGUAGUUGCCGAGCGCGACGGUGGUGAGCGACAGCGCGGAGCACAUGCUCCUCAUGGCGUCGGGCGCCUGGUCGUAGAAGAACUCCAGCUGCCCCACGAAGGUGAACACCUCCGCGCACCCGAUGAUGAAGUACUGCGGUAUCUGCCAGAAGAUGGAGAUGGGCACGAUGUCGUCCUCGCCGUACAGGCCGUGCCGCGCGAUGGCGCGCAGCCGCACGAUGUCCAGCACGCCCGCCGCCACCAUGGAGAAGAUGGAGACGACGAGGCCGAUGCCCAUGCGCUGCAGCUGCGUGAACCCGCGCGGCCUCCCGGUGUAGGAGCGCACCAGGGGCACGAUGGCGCGGUCGUACACGGGGACCCAGACGAUGACGCUGAUGGUGUCCACCAUGGACAGCGUCGCCGAGGGGAUCUUGAACCGGGGCCCCAUGCUCUGGUCCAGCGUGUUACCCUGCAGCACGAACAUGGUGCUCAUCUGCGAGUACACCGCCGCGAACACGAUCCCGCUGGCCCAGAUGGGCAGCAGCCGGAUCACGCUCUUGAGCUCCUCCACCUGCGUCACCGAGCACAGGCGCCACGGGCUCGCCUCCGCGCCGUCCUCGGCCGUCACCACGGCAGCCCUGUCGAGGCACGCCAGCUGCUCCGAGUGCUCCAGCUUGCGGCUCCCCUCGAUGACGGACUCCCCGUCCACCGUCUCGUGCAGCCGCGACUUGUCCGCGGGCACGGCCACGUUCCACUUGCGCGCGCACGCGACGAGCACCUGCGCGAUGCGCGUCAGCGGGCUGCCCCCGGGCUUCUGGUGCCUGUACAGCGGCGUGCCCACGAAGAAGCUGCCGACGGCGAUGGCCAUGACCACGGCGGGGAUGCCGAAGCCCCAGCCCCAGCCCACGUGCGUCUGCACGUACACCAGCACUGUGGACGCCACCAGCGCGCCGAUGUUGAUGGAGAAGUAGAACCAGUUGAAGAAGGAGCUCUUGCUCUUCUUCUCCCGCUCGUCGUUCUCGUCGAACUGGUCGGCGCCGAAGGAGGACACGCACGGCUUGAUCCCGCCCGUGCCCAGCGCGAUGAGGUACAGCGCCACGAACACCACCGCCGCCUGCGCGUCCGUCGGGUGGCACACAUCCUUGUCGCCGCACGACGUAGGCACCAGCCCCUUCACCGACGAAGCCAUCGUCAGCAGCGCCAGGCCCUGUUCAGUUCAGUUGAGUCGAUCCGUCAGUCACAGGUGGUGUCUUCUCCUCGUCGGAUGGCAAUGGGAUGGGAUUCGAGCGACGAUCUUACGAAAAUGUAGAUGAUCAUGAAGAUGGCGAUGGUCCAGAACCUCCCCAUGUACGCGUCGGCGAAGAAGGCGCCGAUGAGCGGCGUGAUGUAGCACGUCCCUUGCCAGUUGGUGACGUUGUUGGAGGCAACGGAGUUCACCUGGCCAAGUCGGGUCUUCAUGUAGUUCACCAGGUUGGUGCUCAUGCCAUAGUAAGCCAGCCUCUCGCAGCACUCGUUCGCUGAACCAUCAACCAUGUAAGUAUCAGCGGCCGUCAAUGGAGUCGACAACAAACAAACAGAGCGAGCACAAAGCAGAGCGGCAAUGGACACAAAUGACUACUGAGCACUGACCGAGGAUGUAGGGGCAGGCGCGCCAGUUGCCGGUGCCCUUCUUCACGGCGGGAUUCCCUUUCAUGUCCACGGUCCCGUCUUGGGUGUACAUGUCCUCAACUUCUCCCAUGUCGUCCGUCAGUACUCAGGUGACGCGAAGCUCAGAGUGACAGUCAGAGUGGCCUCCUCUCCUGCCCUGCAAAUACACACCGAUUCUUGUUCUUCAGCGUGUGAACGAUUCUUCUUGCAUGAGUAGUAGACUGAAACAAUGUGCAAAAGGAACCAUGGACAAUCAGAAACAAUCCCUCCAAUGACGUCUACGAUUAGCAGUUCCCCUUUUUUUUAAAAAAAACGAAACCUACGAUUAGCAUAUUAGGCAUGAACAUGAAGAAGUGCAGAAACAGACAUUUCAGUAUAGUGACUAGAUUUCUUCAAGAAUACUGCACGAUUCGGUGGAGGGGAACUCAAUUUCGCUAUUAACUACUUGGAUUUUUCAAGACAGCAAUGGGGAAGCCAGAAUCUAUAAGAAAAUAUAUCUGAAACGAACCUACCGCAAAGUAGAGUUUCAGUGACUAGACAGCAGCAACCAUUAGUGCCCAAAGUGAACUGCAGGGAAGAAAUUGAGCGCAAAAACCUUAAAACCCCGAACCGACGAAGCAGAGAACAAAAAGGAUUCACAGAAUCACUGGGAUUCUCCCAAAUCUCCACCCGUCAGGCAUCUGCUGACGCAGAAGGCCAUGCGAUGCGAGGACGGAAUCAUGAAGGCGAGGAGGCCGCUCGCACGCACCUGCUCGAAGGGCUAGGCCAAGAAGAAGCGCACGGCUUGUCUCGUAUGAAGAAGACGGAGUAGGCGGGUGGCCAAGC
Molecule: unclassified non-coding RNA, 2510 nt
Filed under: Zea mays
Lineage: Eukaryota; Viridiplantae; Streptophyta; Magnoliopsida; Poales; Poaceae
Description: misc RNA Zm00001eb335720
Source: RNAcentral